RNAcentral lists this long non-coding RNA (1024 nucleotides) under Amazona collaria (yellow-billed parrot). RNAcentral's name for it is "lncRNA (ENSACOG00000007680.1)". Lineage: Eukaryota; Metazoa; Chordata; Aves; Psittaciformes; Psittacidae. The record is from RNAcentral.
GUCUGCCCUCGCACCGGCCCGGCGGCGCUGGGGACCUGGCGGUGCCCUCGCAGGCACGGGGGGGGGUCGGUUCUGGUGUGGGUCAGGGCAGCGGGUCCGUGGCGGCAGGACCCGGGUUGGGUCCUUGAGAUGAGGGCGGGGGCUUCCAGCUCGGCUUGGGUUGUUCUGGAGCACCCCCUUCACCUGUGCCCGUGGGUAAGGAGGGAGGCACCGACCUCCUGCCCGCACCUGCGGCUCCCGGGCCCGGGGCUGAUGCCCCGGCGCUGUGGGGGAUGCCCGAUGCCCCGCACCGCCGCUCACCGCUCUUUGUCCUCUGUCCUCAGCGUUCGUGGGAUGCUGCGUGCGGCUCUGCCCCUGCCUCAGCACCGAGAUGGGCCCCACACCCGUCACUGCCGUCCCCUGCACCCACCCGGGCACCGCGACGGGGGAGCGCUGCCCCACAGAUCCGGAGGGAGGAGCUGACGUGGGGCAGGCACCGACACCGGAGGCCGUGGGGCGGCUGCGGACAGGGGCUGAGCUGCUCCCGUUCCCUGGGACCCCCACCGGGGCUGCCGAGACCCCCGGCCCCCAGCGGAGCCCCUCGGGCCCCUGGGCAGGCAGGGACGGAGCAUCCAUACCCCGGCUCCCUGCGGGCAGCGAGCGCCCAGGGGGGACCAGCGCAGGGGCCCCGGCCCCUGAGGAGCCGAGCAUGGCUCCUGCCACCGGGCACCCCCCCGGGACUCACCCUGUAGGAAACGCGGUGUCUGAAGGGGCCACGACCGCACCGGGGACACACUGGCGUUCACCAUCCUCCACAAUGGUACCCAGCUCUGCCGAGGGGCAGGGGGGGGCCCCCAGCACCCUGCCGGGAUGGAGCCCCACGGGCACAGCUCUGGUGCGGAGCCAGGGGGGCUCACAGGGUCCCUCACCCCCUGAGCCGGCGAUGGGGGAGGACGCGGAUGCCGCCGUCCCGCUGGGUGACAGCAGCACAGGGCCGCGGCCGAGCAUCACGGUGGCCACCGACAGCCCAGCGCCGGGGACAGCC